RNAcentral lists this ribosomal RNA (265 nucleotides) under uncultured bacterium. RNAcentral describes it as "partial 16S ribosomal RNA". It matches the Rfam family "Bacterial small subunit ribosomal RNA", at positions 793 to 1055 of the family's 1533-position model. The record is from RNAcentral.
GUCCACGCCCUAAACUAUGUCAACUGGUUGUUGGGAGAGUUAAAUCUCUUAGUAACGAAGCUAACGCGUGAAGUUGACCGCCUGGGGAGUACGGCCGCAAGGUUAAAACUCAAAGGAAUUGACGGGGACCCGCACAAGCGGUGGAUUAUGUGGAUUAAUUCGAUGCAACGCGAAAACCUUACCUACCCUUGACAUGCCAGGAACCUCGCAGAGAUGUGAGGGUGCCCGAAAGGGAAUCUGGACACAGGUGCUGCAUGGCUGUCGU